Molecule: transfer RNA, 75 nt
Filed under: Acidimicrobiia bacterium
Lineage: Bacteria; Bacillati; Actinomycetota; Acidimicrobiia
Also listed under: 3 other names
Description: tRNA-Val
Rfam family: tRNA
About the family: Transfer RNA (tRNA) molecules are approximately 80 nucleotides in length. Their secondary structure includes four short double-helical elements and three loops (D, anti-codon, and T loops). Further hydrogen bonds mediate the characteristic L-shaped molecular structure. tRNAs have two regions of fundamental functional importance: the anti-codon, which is responsible for specific mRNA codon recognition, and the 3' end, to which the tRNAs corresponding amino acid is attached (by aminoacyl-tRNA synthetases). tRNAs cope with the degeneracy of the genetic code in two manners: having more than one tRNA (with a specific anti-codon) for a particular amino acid; and 'wobble' base-pairing, i.e. permitting non-standard base-pairing at the 3rd anti-codon position.
Source: RNAcentral
GGGCGGUUAGCUCAGUGGUAGAGCACUUCCUCGACACGGAAGGGGUCGGAGGUUCGAAACCUCUACCGCCCACCA